This 232-nucleotide ribosomal RNA is filed under the name Synechococcus elongatus PCC 6301. RNAcentral's name for it is "partial 23S ribosomal RNA". It matches the Rfam family "Bacterial large subunit ribosomal RNA", at positions 2693 to 2925 of the family's 2925-position model. The record is from RNAcentral. Lineage: Bacteria; Bacillati; Cyanobacteriota; Cyanophyceae; Synechococcales; Synechococcaceae.
CCGGAGGAACGCACCGCUGGUGUACCAGUUAUCGUGCCAACGGUAAACGCUGGGUAGCUACGUGUGGAGUGGAUAACCGCUGAAAGCAUCUAAGUGGGAAGCCCACCUCAAGAUGAGUACUCUCAUGGCAUAAGCCAGUAAGGUCACGGGUAGAACACCCGUUAAUAGGCGCUAUGUGGAAGUUCAGCAAUGGAUGAAGCUGAGGCGUACUAAUAGACCGAGGGCUUGACCU